AAAAAAACUUACUUUACUAGGGUGUACUGCAUGUAAGGGCUUUUCCUGCUAGCAAAAUGCUUAAAGAGGAUCAUGUUACUGGUCGUCUGAGUUGUUAUUUUACAAAAUCACAGCUAUGUGGUCGGGUAAGAUUUUGAUAACUGUUUUGUGCACGUUUCUGGGGGGUGGGGGUUGGCAUUUCCCUGAGGGUUACUGAUUAGACUAAGUAAAUAUUGGUGUUUGAUAUCUCUCCUAAUGAACCUGUCCAUGAAAUAAUUAUGUUGUAAAUAUACCUGAAAAUCCAAGGGUUAGUUUUGAUAUUCUGGUGUCAGUAUGGAAGAUCUUACACAUCUAUUUAAUACUCAAAUGUUAAGGAAUGUAUGUAGAAAAAACAGUCAAGUAGUCUUUUAGUUUCCUUUGGCUGUUGCUGUACCUUCCUAUAGCUAGUGCCACCUCAUAGCUAGGGUUAGAUUGAUGCUUUGUUUCACUUGCAACUCAAAGUGAAUGGAUACAAGAACCAGACCACCUUUGUCACCUUAACUUAUUUCCUAUUGAUGUUAAACUUAACUUAGAAUGUUAGACAUAAAUAUGAUUGUUGUAUAUUUUAUACCAAG
RNAcentral lists this long non-coding RNA (593 nucleotides) under Gallus gallus (chicken). RNAcentral's name for it is "long non-coding RNA NONGGAT003173". Lineage: Eukaryota; Metazoa; Chordata; Aves; Galliformes; Phasianidae. The record is from RNAcentral.